Numida meleagris (helmeted guineafowl) is the source of this 2276-nucleotide long non-coding RNA. NCBI's taxonomy places the organism in Eukaryota, Metazoa, Chordata, Aves, Galliformes, Numididae. The record is from Ensembl.
CGGGUCCAGCAAAGUGCCAAAGUGUUCGCCAAAGUGGGAGGCGGCCCUCUCGCCCCCCUCCCGUCGGCGGGGAGGGGGAGCCGGACCCCCGCCGGCUGCCCCGCGGCCCCCGGCUCCCCUCGGACUCCUUUCGCCGGCGGAGGCGCGGAGAGAGCGGUGCGGCGGGAUCUUCGGGCAGCGCCGCUCCCCCGCGCCGUCCCCUCCGGCAGCCUCCCCCGAGGGGAACAGCGAUCUCGGCGUCUCCCCGCCCGCCGCCGCCGCCGCCGGCCCCGCUCCGCUCGGCUCCCGGACUGACUCGCGGUCCCCCCCGGCGGGCGGGCGGGUAAGGGAGCGGAGAAGGCACGCCCAGCCGCCGGCGCCGCCGCGCUGCCCCGCUAGAGGGCGAGGCGGCCGUGCGCGGCGCGGCGGGGGCCGGUGAUGGGAGCUCCGUGCUCGCCGCCCCGAGAGCCGCUGCGUUCGGCCCGAAGUUCAGCCCGCCACCUCGGCGCUGUCGGAAGGGCUGCUCGGCGAAAACCGCGAGCGUCAGCACCGACGGAGCGGGAUACGGAGCUGCGAGCGGGCUGCGGGCACCGCGCCGGGCAGAACCGCCUCCGGUUCGGGUACCGCCGUCAAACGUGGGCGACUCUGGCCUCCCGCGGGGCCCCCGGGCCGCCCCGUGCAGCCCCGGCGGUGUGGCGUCACGUAGUGGGGCGUGACGUCAUCAGCACCCGGCGAGGGAAGGGACGUUAAGUCAACAUGGCAGCGCGCACUCCUUGUUUGUCAUCUGCCCCUCGGAGUGCAGCUGCCUGUGUUUUUUGCUGUGGGGAUUUGGCUUCUGUCAGGCUCUGCAAAGACGCGUUUGUUGGUUUAAAACCAAUUCUGUUGAGUUUGGACCUCUGAAAGUGGAAGUACUGCUGUUGGCUAUCGCUUGCAGUGAAAGCUGUCCUUUUCUUUUUCUUGCGGGUGCAGGUGUCAGGCCAGAUUCAUCCCUGGUUAUCCCCUGGGGCUAUGAAUGAAACAGUGAAAACAAGAAUCGAAGUAAUGCCAAAAUGAAGGGUUUGAGCUGACAAACACUCAGGUUCGGGUUCUGCUUUCUCCAGAAUGGGCCCUCUGUUUUUACAGCACUCUCACACAUAGUUACCAGCUUCAGUCUCGUUGCAAUUGAAGCCUUAAGUCCCAUCCCCCCCACAGCAGUGCAACUGAUGACACAUAUUGAAGAUUUGUGCGUGUUUUUGCUUGUGUUUCCAUGCAAUACGUCCACUUCAAAGUUCGGCCUUCAGCUGUACUGCUUCCCACGAUCUUCCAGCCGUCCUGUUGUCACGGUGCCGUGCCAUUGGGUUUUAGCGGUGUGUUUGUGGCGUGAGGACACGAAGGGACGUGAGCUGGGAGAUGUGCGGGGUGCAGGCAGCUGCCUCAGACAGGAACACAAGAGGGCAGGGUAGCAUUAAUUGUUGUGCUUCCUGACGUCAGACUUUUCUUUGCACUGUGAGCAUUUUCUCCAUUUGUUAUCUGCCUGGAACUUCUUAGGCUUCCCUAGUGAAGUUUCCUUAGUACCCGCAAACCUUUAUAGCCUAUGUUGUUGUUUUGGGAUUUUUUUCCAAUAAUAAUCGUCUUCUUUUUUUUCCUCUCGGUACAUAAUUUAAGCAAAUUAUAUGUUCUCUAAAGCUGCAGUUAUAGCAUCUCUAAAUUAGAAACUAGCGAGUCUUGAAAGCGUUACUCGUGUAAUUAGAACACUUUCAAAAAAAACACAUGAAGUCUCAUAAGAAGUUUAACUUACAGUAAAUUUAAUUUUCAAGCAUAUCUGCGUUUGUCACUAAAAAUCCAGAAAUCCGCAGUUAACCAGUGCUCAUGCUAAUGAUGUCUUCUCUCUAGCUUCAUAAUGUCCAGAAACACAUUUUAAAAAUGGAGCUCUAAUCACAGAAUCAUUAAGAUUGUAAAAGACCACUGAGAUCAUCUAGUCCAACCAUCAGGCUGUCACCACCAUGCCAGUGAACCAUGUCCCUCAGAUCACCUAAUGUCAGGCUUAACACGAUGGUAAAAUAUCAUGUUCAGACAUAUAGCCUUAACUCUGACCCUCAUCUUUUUCACAAGGAAAUUGAAGCUCCAUGCCUAUAUCCACUGCUAUCUAAUGUUAGUGUAUGGAAGAUGUGAUAGAAAAUCACCAAGUUCAGUGGAAGAGCAAGUACGAGUGGUCACAGUAAUAGCAGGAGGAGGGCUAAAGUCAGUGAUCUUCAAAGACAUAACCAUUCUGUUUUAAAAACAAUAAAUAAAGGAAAAACGAGUUCUGGGGAAUAGCU